This 571-nucleotide ribosomal RNA is filed under the name Bacillus siamensis. Its description in RNAcentral is "bacterial SSU rRNA". It matches the Rfam family "Bacterial small subunit ribosomal RNA", at positions 202 to 761 of the family's 1533-position model. The record is from RNAcentral. Lineage: Bacteria; Bacillati; Bacillota; Bacilli; Caryophanales; Bacillaceae.
GGCUUCGGCUACCACUUACAGAUGGACCCGCGGCGCAUUAGCUAGUUGGUGAGGUAACGGCUCACCAAGGCGACGAUGCGUAGCCGACCUGAGAGGGUGAUCGGCCACACUGGGACUGAGACACGGCCCAGACUCCUACGGGAGGCAGCAGUAGGGAAUCUUCCGCAAUGGACGAAAGUCUGACGGAGCAACGCCGCGUGAGUGAUGAAGGUUUUUCGGAUCGUAAAGCUCUGUUGUUAGGGAAGAACAAGUGCCGUUCAAAUAGGGCGGCACCUUUGACGGUACCUAACCAGAAAGCCACGGCUAACUACGUGCCAGCAGCCGCGGUAAUACGUAGGUGGCAAGCGUUGUCCGGAAUUAUUGGGCGUAAAGGGCUCGCAGGCGGUUUCUUAAGUCUGAUGUGAAAGCCCCCGGCUCAACCGGGGAGGGUCAUUUGGAAACUGGGGAACUUUGAGUGCAGAAGAAGGAGAGUGGAAUUCCACGUGUAGCGGUGAAAUGCGUAGAGAUGUGGAGGAACACCAGUGGCGAAGGCGACUCUCUGGUCUGUAACUGACGCUGAGGAGCGAAAGCG